GAUGAACGCUGGCGGCGUGCCUAAUACAUGCAAGUCGAGCGAACGGACGAGAAGCUUGCUUCUCUGAUGUUAGCGGCGGACGGGUGAGUAACACGUGGAUAACCUACCUAUAAGACUGGGAUAACUUCGGGAAACCGGAGCUAAUACCGGAUAAUAUUUUGAACCGCAUGGUUCAAAAGUGAAAGGCGGUCUUGCUGUCACUUAUAGAUGGAUCCGCGCUGCAUUAGCUAGUUGGUAAGGUAACGGCUUACCAAGGCAACGAUGCAUAGCCGACCUGAGAGGGGGAUCGGCCACAUGGAAACGGAGACCCGGUCCAGCCCCCUCCGGGAGGCAGCAGUAGGGAAUCUCCCGCAAUGGGCGAAAGCCUGACGGAGCAACGCGGCGGGAGGGAUAAAGGUCUUCGUAUCUUAAAACUCUUUUAUUGGGGAAAAAAAUAUGUGUAAGUAACUGUGCACAUCUUGACGGUCCCUAAUAAGAAACCCAGGGCUAACUCCGUC
RNAcentral lists this ribosomal RNA (497 nucleotides) under uncultured bacterium. RNAcentral's name for it is "partial 16S ribosomal RNA". It matches the Rfam family "Bacterial small subunit ribosomal RNA", at positions 28 to 507 of the family's 1533-position model. The record is from RNAcentral.